Molecule: ribosomal RNA, 412 nt
Filed under: Typhlobelus guacamaya
Lineage: Eukaryota; Metazoa; Chordata; Actinopteri; Siluriformes; Trichomycteridae
Description: partial 16S ribosomal RNA
Rfam family: Bacterial large subunit ribosomal RNA
Source: RNAcentral
CUUUCAACUCAAUGAAAUUGAUCUCCCCGUGCAGAAGCGGGCAUAAAAAUACAAGACGAGAAGACCCUUUGGAGCUUGAGAUGCAAGACCAACUAUGUCAAGAAACCUUAAAAGAAUUAAACUAAAUAGUAACUGGCCCUCAUCUUCGGUUGGGGCGACCACGGGAGACAACAAAGCUCCCACGCGGACUGGGGAAAUCCCUAAAACUAAGAGAGACAUCUCUAAGUCGCAGAAUAUCUGACUAAAAAGAUCCGGCUUCCUGCCGAUCAACGGACCAAGUUACCCUAGGGAUAACAGCGCAAUCCCCUUCCAGAGUCCAUAUCGACAGGGGGGUUUACGACAUCGAUGUUGUAUCAGAAAACCUAUACGUUGCAGCCCGCUCAGACAGGACUUCGUUUUUACGAUUAAAGUC